UUCCUCCUCCAGCUCCUGCUUCCUCUUAAGUCCUUCCCUCUUCUCCUUAAGGUACAUCGCCACUUUCCUGUGAUUGGCGAGCACCAACUCAUGCUCCUCCUUGGCCAAGUACAGUGGGCGAAAGCGCUCGGGUUCAUGUUGCGGGUACACAUUGUUUGGGUAGAGGUCUUGGCCAAAAGGCAAAGGCGAAGAGGAGAGGGCCAUGUUGCCAGACGAAGGGGCAGGUGACAAGGAUGCUUCGUAAUCGUGGAUGCUGUUGGCGUCCUGCUCCUCCUCCAACUCAUGGCCUGCCUCCAACCCUGGCUCUGAGUGUGUAGAGGGGAAAGGGAGAUCUGGAGGCGGUUUUACAUCAUCUUCGAUGUCCAGAUGGACCACCUCAUGGGGAAUAGUUGGGACGGCUGCCGAGUAUUCUUGAAGGCCAGCAAGAGAGGAGCUGCUUCCAAGAGGCUUGAUGGGAGACGUGUGCUUACUAUAUAUUAAUCUGUGGAGGGACAGAAGGAUCAACAUGAGUGAGAACAAUCACACUUAUUGACAGAUUACAUACAGUAUCUCACAAAAAUGAAUACACCUCACACAUUUUACGACUUAUAUUCAUUAUGUAUUCUCAAGGGACAACACUAUAGAAAUGAAACUUGGAUAUACAUUAAGAGUAGUCAGUGUACAACUGGUAGAGCUGAAUAGAUUUACAAUUUACUGAAAAAAACCCAGUGAAAACACAACCAUGCUUGACUGAGGCAAAACACCUUAAAUUGCUACUCGUGUUGCCAGCUAUUUAGGCAAUAAAAUAACAGCUGUGUGUUGACCCAUUUUCAGAUGACAGUAUACAGCUUUCUAAGAUGUACGCUGACUGCGCGUAAGUGUAUCCAAGUAUAGUUUCUAAAGUAUUGUGGAUUAAGAAGACUUACUUUAAUAAAACUACGGCCUACACAAAAAGUGAUGGUAAAUGCACACAAUUAUAUAGAGUAUGCAAUAUCUUCUCUACUUGGAUUGGCAAAAGAAACAGGGACUACGGACAGAAAUUAGCGGAAUGCUAAAUCUAGUGCACCCACUUCUAAUUUUAGAACAAUGUGUAGUGCAAGUUGUUCAUGAACCAAUUUUUAAAAUAUAUAUAAUUUCAAAUGAUUAUUUGUUAAUUUGUAAGCAGCGUGUCCCCAAACAUUUGAAUAGCUGUGGAAUUAGUAAUUACAUGUCCAAGGCAAACAAAAUUAAAUAGUCUUCAAGUUGAAAAAAAAAAUUUAUCUAUUAUGUAUCUGGACAUAUAUUGUAUUUGGUUUUUCACAACUUCACAAAUGUUCAAUAUGUACACCACCUGUGACAUGACACGUCAAGCCAAUAGACUAACUCCUGCCAAACACGGUGCAAGGUUUCCUGUGUAGCAUUCCUUAAUGCAUCAAUAAUUCUCUUUAAAACCGAGACUUUUUAUCCAGUACACAAAUAACUUUGAAACCAUUUGGGACAUCUGUCUACUGUAAAUACAAGUAUCUAAAAAUGAAGUUUUUUUUUCUAUGAAAUUUAGUGUGCUUUCUUUAUUUCUUCUUCCUAAAAUCCUAAAAAUAAACAAAUAUAUUUGCUGCUUCUAUAUCAGUUGUGUAUGUGUGUGUGUGUUGGCUUCUGGAAGUAAUCUUGUUGUCUAGUACAUAGUUUGUCCGUGCUGGUGCAUGUACCUGCGCAGCGCCAGGUCCUUUUCGUGGAUGGGCACAUGCUGAAACAGGUGAGGGAUUAUCUCCAUGAUUCUCCUGGUAGGCUCUGAGAUGCUUGCUCUGUACUCCGGCUGGGCGUGUCUCCGUUGCAUCACUUCCUGUUUGGCUGACUCCUUCAGCCUCUUGUAGAGGGUCCUGAGACCCUGAGCUGUGCGGUGAGGCCUGUCGCCCCCCAAGGCAUUGUACUGCUCUGCCACGGUUUCCCAGCACUUGUUCUUGUCCACAAUGACCGCGUGUUUGUUGGUGUGUUCCUCCAGGAUGCGGAUGUGAGGGCGGACCAGCUUCAACAGGUCCAGCUUCUCAGAGAGGGUGAAGUUGGAAGAGCGAGCUUUACCCACCAUGCUGGAGAGAAACGCCGAGCCAGCUGCCAUCUUAAAGCACAGACCAAUUCAGGCCUUUGCCUGUCACCCCAACACCUGUCUUUUCUUGUUCUUAUGCAGGAUUUUCUUAGUCCACCAAGAUUAAAAUUUAACACAGCUUUAACUAUUUGAUAUCACUCAUUUUCCUCCUCUUCCCACUUCAAAUCAAACAUAGGCUAUGUUCUGUCAUGAGCGUGGAAUCCAACCACUCCUUGGUUGCUCCUCGUGUGUCCUUGCACGACAAAAUCAGGCUGCUGCUGCGCACAAUAAGAAUCAGGCUUAACUAGGCCAGCCUCGUUUAGGCCCCCGCCUAUCGCGCAGGGUUUUGGAUGAAUUCCUCUCAGCUUAGACUGACGUAGCUAAGCUGCUUAAACCCAGCCCGACCUACUUACAGCCCGGCCUCUCUAAACCCCAAACCAGGCACAAAGAGCCAUGCAGCCCCGGCAUAUAACAACAGAUGGGGACACACUAAGUAGGGGUUCAGUGCAUAGUUUAUUUGGGUUUUUCUGGACACUUGUAUUGCUUGCACGACGGCGAGUGCAGAGCAGCACGGUUUAACUGACUCAAAUGGGGGAGGGGUUUAAGCGAGCCCGCUACGCAUGCGUGGGAGAGGUCGCGUCUAAGCAAGGGGCGCGCUCUUUGAUGCGACGUGCUAAUGACACGGACAUGGCUGUAACAUGCAAAUCUGCGUGAGUCAGAUGUGUUUCGGGUGUAAUGCAGAGACACCGGAUAAAAACGGUAGGACGGAGCGGCGUGUGCGUUGUCAAGUGCCGAGCAGAAGUGCUAAAUCUGCCAGCGACUACCGCUCCCACACCAGGCUAACACUGACUAGCCACAAAGGAGAAAUACGCGAAACAGAAAUUAGCAUUUAGAAGGAUCGCUGGGGGUGCUGGAGCCUAUCUCAGCAGUAUUCGGGCGGAAAGCGGGGUACACCCUGGACAAGUCUCCACUUCAGCGCAGAGCCAACACAGAUAGACAGACAACAUUCACACACUAGGACCAAUUUAGUGUUGCCAAUCAACCUAUCCCCAGGUGCAUGUCUUUGAAGGUGGGAGGAAGCCGGAGUACCCGGGGAAAAAAUACUAACUUCACAGAGAAAGAUCCCGAGCCCAGGAAUCGAACCGUGGACAGAGAAUUAAUUUGAGUUGGCAUUUUCUAUAUUUAACAGCUGUUUGUGCAUGUGUAAAUUCCAACCAUUUUCUACCGCUUAUUCCCUUUUGGGGUCGCUGGCGCCUAUCUCAGCUACAAUCGGGCGGAAGGCGGGGUACACCAUGGACAAGUCGCCACCUCAUCGCAGGACCAACACAGAUAGACAGACAACAUUCACACACUAGGGCCAAUUUAGUGUUGCCAAUCAACCUAUCCCCAGGUGCAUGUCUUUGGAAGUGGGAGGAAGCCGGAGUACCCGGAGGGAACCCACGCAUUCACGGGGAGGACAUGCAAACUCCACACAGAAAGAUCCCGAUCCUGGAUUUGAACCCAGGACUGCAGGACCUUCGUAUUGUGAGGCAGACGCACUAACCCCUCUUCCACCGUGAAGCCCGCAUGUGUAAAUUAUAUAUUAAAAUAAAAUUGGCAUUUCACUGAUUAUGA
Molecule: long non-coding RNA, 3652 nt
Organism: Nerophis ophidion (straightnose pipefish)
Lineage: Eukaryota; Metazoa; Chordata; Actinopteri; Syngnathiformes; Syngnathidae
Exons: 2
Source: RefSeq, a predicted model, not a curated record